Molecule: long non-coding RNA, 270 nt
Organism: Micropterus dolomieu (smallmouth bass)
Lineage: Eukaryota; Metazoa; Chordata; Actinopteri; Centrarchiformes; Centrarchidae
Exons: 3
Source: RefSeq, a predicted model, not a curated record
AAUUUGCUAACGGAGCAUGGCCCAAUAGCUGUACCUCAAAGGACCCUUACUGGCUUACUGACUGGCUUUUAGGGAAACAAAGAUGUGGACUGGAGGUAAGGUGUGUGUGCAUGCUUGUGAGAUCUACCUGGGAGAGGAGGGGUGGUGCCGUGCUCUCAAAAGGAGGAUAAAGCGAUGAGAGCGCCCCCUGCACACAAUCCUCCAUUGCCUCCGAACCCUGAGAGAGACAAAGAUGGUCCAAUGUGGAAAAUGCGGCAUCACUGAAACCAC